CUCCCAUAUGGUCGACCUGCAGGCGGCCGCGAAUUCACUAGUGAUUAUUACCGCGGCUGCUGGCACAGAGUUAGCCGAGCCUUAUUCCCGGGGUACCGUCAUUAUCGUCCCCCGAAAAAGGAGUUUACAACCCGAAGGCCGUCAUCCUCCACGCGGCGUUGCUCGUUCAGGCUUGCGCCCAUUGACGAAAAUUCCUUGCUGCUGCCUCCCGUAGGAGUCUGGGCCGUGUCUCAGUCCCAGUCUGGCUGUCUGUCCUCACAGACCAGCUACCCGUCAUCGGCUCGGUAGGCCGUUACCCCACCGACUACCUGAUGGGCCGCGGGCCACUCUCCCUGCGCGUUGCCGCUUUCCUCUUGCGAGCGUAUGCGGGAUUAGCAGCGCUUUCGCGCUGUUGUCCCCCACAAGGAGGCAUGUUCCCACGUGAUCCUCAGCCGUGCGCCACUCACCACCCGAAGGUGGCGCGUGCGACUUGCAUGCAUUAGGCACGCCGCCAGCGUUCGUCCUGAGCCAUGAUCAAACUCUAAUCGAAUUCCCGCGGCCGCCAUGGCGGCCGGGAGCAUGCGAC
This 565-nucleotide ribosomal RNA is filed under the name uncultured Chloroflexota bacterium. Its description in RNAcentral is "uncultured Chloroflexi bacterium partial 16S ribosomal RNA". The record is from RNAcentral. Lineage: Bacteria; Bacillati; Chloroflexota.